RNAcentral lists this non-coding RNA (370 nucleotides) under Rhizobium sp. Lineage: Bacteria; Pseudomonadati; Pseudomonadota; Alphaproteobacteria; Hyphomicrobiales; Rhizobiaceae. The record is from RNAcentral. RNAcentral also lists the same sequence under 1 other name.
UAAUCCUUUGAACCGGAUGGUUUUCGGGCUGCGGAAGUGUGGCCUGGAAAGCAAAAGGGAAUGCGGAGGCAGGGACCCAGGCAGGGACUGCCAAACGCAGCCGACCCCGCGACUGUAGAGCAGUGAGGGUCUUCCAUCCGGUUUUAGUGCCGAAGGCAUGACGGAUCGCAGGGUGUGAUCGAUGCCGGACGUCUUGAGCCGGAAAAACCACUGGGGUGGCAGCGCGAUCAGCCGGGGUGGGACGCCUCUUUAUCUACGAAUCGUCCGCCUUUUCGCGACUGCCAUAAAGCCCUGGGAAGGUGAGGGAGAUCCGUUGGCGUUUUCGCCGGCAGCUGUGAGCCAGGAGACCUGCCGUCCGUGACGGGCCUUU